AUCAAAUGCAGCACAGCACGCAUGGGAUAUGUUUGACUUAUGACAGCCAAGAAUUUACAGAUAACAAUGUUUCUAUCUACAAAACAUAACAACAAGAGGCAUGGUCGCCGAGUAUGCAAAGUUGAGGCUCGAUAUUCUGUUGAACACAAACAAAGCAGGAAGCAGAAUGCCAAUAUCAGAACAUACUGUAGCCAUCGUCUUCGUUCAUCCCAAGAUAACACAAGAUGGACAGUACAAAAACGAAAAAGGAUGAAAGCUCCAAUGCCAUGGCUCCCCAACCAAUAACACCAGCAUGUUUUAAGAUGAUCGGAAUUGCAAUGCUGCCAACGGUGGAUGCUCCAGUCAAGAACUUAGUUGCAUUUAGCCAACAGCUUCCAGAUUCGGUGUAGAGACUGGAAGUAUCUGAACCAGCAAAGAACACCAAAGGCAUAGGCAGAGUGACAUACAUUAUAACUGUCAACAUUGGCCACCAGUUAUUAUACAAAGCACAUGCCAGUAUUUGCAAUACAAUCCCUCCAGACACUAACAUUGCCAAACAAGCAAGCCUUCCUGUCUGAAAGCAUGUUCUGAAAUAACCUGGCAUGUCCGCCAUCUUGCCCAAAUCAUACACUAGAAUGGCUGCACCGCGAUCACCGAUGAACUUUCGGAAUAGUUUAGGAUUCCGAUCGCCGAGCGGCUGCUUGGAUGAUCAAGAUUCAACUGGAGUUUUCGCCGGAGAAUCGCGACAAAGAUGUAGGAGAAGCUGAGAAAAUCGAGGGUUGUUUGAUAUCCUACUACUAUCCGAAGCCUCGAUUAAAUUUG
RNAcentral lists this unclassified non-coding RNA (801 nucleotides) under Hevea brasiliensis (rubber tree). Lineage: Eukaryota; Viridiplantae; Streptophyta; Magnoliopsida; Malpighiales; Euphorbiaceae. The record is from RNAcentral.